UACGGAGGGUGCGAGCGUUAAUCGGAAUUAUUGGGCGUAAAGGGUGCGUAGGUUGUUUGAUAAGAUAUAGGUAAAAUUCCUGGGCUUAACCUGGGACUGUCCUAUAAGACUGUUAGACUAUGAGUAUGGGAGAGGGUAGAGGAAUUUCCGGUGUAGCGGUGAAAUGCGUAGAUAUCGGAAGGAACAUCGGUGGCGAAGGCGUCUACCUGGCCUAAUACUGACACUGAGGCACGAAAGCGUGGGGAGCAAACAGG
RNAcentral lists this ribosomal RNA (254 nucleotides) under uncultured bacterium. RNAcentral describes it as "partial 16S ribosomal RNA". It matches the Rfam family "Bacterial small subunit ribosomal RNA", at positions 524 to 776 of the family's 1533-position model. The record is from RNAcentral.